GUUUGAAUGUAAUAGAGCUUAUCAUAGCUAUUUGGAGGUUGAGUCCUAUUUAUUGGUCAGAAAAUUAUUGUGAAUACUGGUCAAGACAAGCAUUUUGCAGAUUAGGAAUUCAAGUCAGGGUCCCUGUUGUAUACCUAGGUCAAACUGAUUAUCAGUUCAAAUUAUGUAUUCCAAACUACUGAGAAACGGAAAGCUACCCUUUUCUCAUUUGUGAACGAGG
RNAcentral lists this unclassified non-coding RNA (220 nucleotides) under Hevea brasiliensis (rubber tree). The record is from RNAcentral. Lineage: Eukaryota; Viridiplantae; Streptophyta; Magnoliopsida; Malpighiales; Euphorbiaceae.